AUGCUCAUCAAAUUUCUGUUCGUAAAUAGUCGCCCGUUCAUUUUCCAUCCCAGAUCAAUUGGUAGUGGUUUUAUGGAGCACUGUGUUGAGAAGGCUUCUGAGGCCUUGUCUGGGCUCAGGAGGAGGAAGUGGGAUGGUCAGUCAGUGAUGCCUACCAUGGGUCCCCAUAGCAGAGAGAGGCAGCACCCAGGCCAGACUUGGGGCUUCUCAUGUGAACAGUCUCUUCCGAGCUGUUCCACACCCUCAGACCCUGUCACAUGGCUCUCAGUGGCAGUCGGUAUGGCUCACUUUCUCACUAAUGGCCAGAGACAACCAUAACCUCUUCCCAUGCAAAGAUGAAUAAUGUAAGAACGCUCUUCUUAAGAAGCUGUCAUCUGUAUGUAGCUGACUGAAAUGUGGGAUUUUGCACGCAAGGUGAAAAUCUACAUUCAGCCAAAG
Molecule: long non-coding RNA, 438 nt
Organism: Bos indicus x Bos taurus (hybrid cattle)
Lineage: Eukaryota; Metazoa; Chordata; Mammalia; Artiodactyla; Bovidae
Source: Ensembl